This is a non-coding RNA of Crocodylus porosus (Australian saltwater crocodile), 83 nucleotides long. Lineage: Eukaryota; Metazoa; Chordata; Crocodylia; Crocodylidae. The record is from Ensembl.
AUUGCAGCUUAGGGGGCCACAGCAGAAGCAUUCAUGUUGCAACCCCUGUCAGGUAAUAGCUGGUAAUACCUGCUAAUUCUGCU